GGAGAGGGGAGAGUAAAAUGGACCAUGCAUACUGCAUUUUUCUUGUCCUUGACUGUCCUCCAAGGUUCCCUUCUUUGAUCACCAACAGCAGAAGCAGGCACAAGUGCUUUUGAGCAUGGAGAAUGAAUGAAGAAAUGAGAAGAAUCUUCAAUUCUCUGUUUGGUGAUCACAGAUAAGGUCCAGGUGGAAAAUAUCUCCUCUGCUCAAGAAUAUAAUCCAGCAAGUUACCAGGCCAAAUGGCUCUCUGAACACGAGCCCACAAAGCGCUGAAUGAGGAAGUGCACUGCUCCAGGAGAUUUCAGCACAGCCAGCCAGAAGGUGGCUUUAGCAGUGGUGCUAGAAACAAAAAAAUGGCUUGAAACGGUUUGUAACUGACUAUCCUGAUAAGUGAUUGUAGGUAAUGUUUCAGUCACUCAUGCUUCUUCCUUUUCCUCAAAAUAAACUCUUGUUUUCAGCCACUGACCCGUGGCUAAUGGCGGUUAGCACGAUGCAUCUGAGCUCCAGGCUCGCUCCAUGUAAUGAAUUAUUCUGCUUCGUGGGGGCUCCUUUGCUGAGAGCUGCAGGCACAUGGGAGCUCCUGGGGCCAUGCUCUGGGACUGAGCACAGCUGGAGGAUCUCCGGCCCCUGCCACUCAGUGCAGCUGCCUGCUUGCUAGCAGUGCCAGGGCCAGAGGCAGGGCCUGCAGCUUCACUGCUCAAGGGUCUAGGCUGAAGUCUGGUACUAGCAUGUAACUCAGAUGGUGAUCAGCAUAUAACUCAGAGAGGGACCAGAUGACCAGUGUCUGGAAGUGACAGUGAGGCAUUCACCUUAUGUAAAAGAAGUGCCUAAGACAUGUGGGAAAAUGUCCUCUCUUUGUACCUGGCACUGAUUAUGAACCAGCUUGCCUAAGUAACUCUUUCUAACUGGUGGAAGCUAGGUGAGGCAGUUCUACUUGCUGCAUUUGCCUCCUGUCAUCUCUUCAGACAGACUGUUGUCUGCCAUGACAGGCAUCACUAUACGUCUAGUAUGGAAAACCGUCACUGAACACCUACGCACAUCUGUAAUAAAAACAAUAGCUAAGAAGUCACAUAGAGCUACUGACCAGUGUUUAGUAGCCUGAGUAUGUCACCCUACUUCAAUAUAGAAAGAUGGGAAAUGGAAAGUCUCUGGAUAUUAACCCAGGAUGUGUUACUCAGUCUGGCUCAGACACAAAAUCAUGCUUUGGCAGCUUAACAAGCUGCUGUGUGCCUACUGAGCAGCUCUUAUUAUCCUUGUGCUGAUCUCCUCCUCAUCUUAUCUAUGGUCAUGUGAAAGGCGUGCACACAAAUGGAUGCCUCAGACUGAUACAUUGCAGCCUGUUAAGCCAUGGUUAUCAUGUUCUAUAGGCCACUCACAGACCCACACCAGAUCUUUCUUACUCAGGCUUCAUGCUGACACCAGGGAUUUAUUAAAAUCUGCUGUGCAGCUAUAAAGAUUUUUGCUAAAUAUGUAAUAAACAUCAAUGUGUGGUGUAUAGGAAGUUGGACAGAAUGGCUAUUAGGAAAAAAAGUUUAGCAUCUGUUCGGUGAGUUUUCAUGCAUGAUUUGUUAGGUAAAGGUUAUCCAAAAAGUCAAUACAAGUAUGCUCAGAAAACAUAACAUCAAUUAAACCUCUUGACAGGUGCAUUACAAAGCAGCAGAAGAUCAUUCAAAGCUGCCCAGGAAAAUUCAGUUGCUCCUGAGGGGAGAAAUGCCUCAUCAUCCUCCUGGGCUGCUUUAUGAACCUGCUGGUCUGCUAGGCUGAAAGCCAUUGCUUUGCUCCCAGAUGGCGUGAGCUGCAUUUGGAGAGGCAAGCAGCAUCUCUCAUCCCUCCGAUGUGCCAGUCUGGCAGUCUUUGAAAGCAGGUGGAUGAGCAUUGUUUUAAAAGUGGAUUUUUAUACUCACAGUAGAUACCAGCUUGAGACUAGUGGAAGCUCAAGUCCUUAGCUUACCCAUGGAAUUUGCACAGUGUGGGUGCUGGCAGUAUACAGAGCACCCACACAGAUAUUUUUCAGAGAAAACACAGGAACUUUGGGUUCAUGUGUUGAGUUUCCAGCACAGCUGCUAUGUCUGAAGAGACCACAGUUCUCUCUCAUUGUAUUAUGCUUCUCGCUCCUGUUGCCAGCCCUCUCUCUUGUUCACCCACAUAGGACCCAACAACCCACUGUCCUUGGUUUCCAGACCAAGCCCACAGGGCUCCUGCCUUUGAAGGUUCUGGGUUUUCAGAUCACCUCCUGAGGCCAAUGUGGUAGUUGGAAACAAGAUAAACAUGCAGUCUGCAUCAGGUUGAAGAAUAUAACCACAACAUGCUUUUGCACAAGAAGGAUGCACAUCUAUCUGAAAACAGCCCAUAUGUGUGCAAUGCUGGAUUCUGCCCAUGCAUUUCCAACUUUGAUCCCCAAAUGAGAAGUCUCCUCCCUCCUUACAGUGCUGUAUGUUUGUUUUUUUUUGUUUGUUUGUUUGUUUUUGUUUUUUGCUCUUGGCCUUUUCUUUUUCUGCUUUAAUAUGACCAAUGAGAUCCUUUUGUAUGAACAUUGCAAACUUUCAUCAAGAUACUUGAGUUUGAUCUGCAAAACUAUCAAAAACUCACAGCAAAUCAUUUAUUCCUCACUGUCUUGAAGAGCAGAGCUGAAAACUUGGCUUACUUUGAGCUUAAGCUAUCUUGGGAUGCUCCAAUCAAAGAUGUGUCCCACUGUCAUCUCUACUAUGCCACCUAAAGCCUUUCCUCUCCUUUGUUAUUACUCAUACAUGAAUCUGAAAGCAAAAGAAGACAAUGAAUCAUUCUACACAUUGGAACUGGGAUUCAUAAAUGAUACUCCAGCAGACUCUCCCAAAUGUUGCAGCUGUAUUUCAGGCCAUUAAGCUGCCACUGAAAAGAUUUGUGUUUCUUCCGUUCCAAUCCCUUGACAGAUUCAAUUGCCAGAUGUAAAAGUUUUUAAUUAGAUAUUUAGAAAUCUUUAUAAACUGGUGGGAUUACUGAGCAGAAACCCAGCACUGUGAAGGCCAUAAGGUCUGCUCAGAAAGGAAAAUCUUUAUAAAUAAGCAUGCUGAAAGGAAGAGCAAAAUAACCACUACCUCAAGCUAUGAAUCAAUGUAUUUCCGAGAGGUUAAGGCCCUGAAUCAGCAACAUCUUUAAAAAUAUCCCUAACUUUAAGUGACCCCAUUGACUUCAGUUAUAUACAUAUGGGUCAUGAGUUUGCUCAUUUGGGACUUCCUUUUAUGAGCUGAAAUAAAUGCAUUUUUUAUUCGAGGUAUAAAAAAUCAUUCAUGGAGUCUGGAGUUGUGGCCUUUACACAGUAUGAGAACACAGUGUCUGGAAAAAUGUAAAAUCAAAGUAGGGAAACUUAGAGUGGGAGAAAGUUAGUAAUACUACUCCCAUUUAUCACUGUAAGAAAUUGAGGCUCAAGGACCCAAUGGUUUAUUUAGGGCCAUAUUAAUAGUAUAUUGCAAAGCCAAAAAACAUCCCAAUCUCCCAGGUCCUGCCCUCUGUACAUUAAUCUUCUGGUGUAUAUUCAGAGGAAUUUCCAGUCAUCCUAUCUCCUCCUUUAGACUUCUUGCUAACAUCUGAGCAAGUGAAAGAGACAGAAAAGAAUGAGCUAGAUAAUCUUACUGGGGAUCAGGAAACAUACAAGGACUGUUGCAAAAAUAAUGUGUUUUAUUUUAUUAUUUUGGUCCACAACAUCAGAGGCAGAUGUUGGUAGUAUGGCAGUAGAGGAUGAACCUUCCCAACAAUAUUCCAUUACAGUUUCUUGCUGUACAACAAAUGGAAGCAGAGGUGCAGUCUGAUGUCUGAUGUGAAAGUAUAUAUGGUGUGGAAUUGAAAUCCUCCAUGAUGAAAAAAUGGCACCCAUUGACAUUCAUUAAUGCUUGCUGAAUGUUUAUAGAGACCAAACAAUAGAUGUUGGCACAAUGAGGUGAUGGGUGGUGCAUUUCAGUGGGGCAGCACUGACAGUGAUGACAGCCACGCGUAGCUGUUACACCAUGAAAUGAAGAGUGUUUUGAUCUGCUCCUCUGUUCAUAUCAGUGGAUUAUGGCCAGGGAAUUAUGUAUGGAGCUGAAUAUUGGAAACAAUGGUGGCAAGAUCAGAAUAUUGACAAGUUCGUGGGUCCCACGAAUGCUCACACAUAACAGAAAGAGCAAGUUGGUCAGGACCUACUGUACGAAUAUGAAGCUGACAGUUUCCUGGAUCGCAUCAUUAUCAGUGACAAGAAGUGGUGUCAUGACUAUGAACCAGAUUCAAAACAACAGUCCAUGGAGUGUUGAUGUGAAUUGCCCAUUGAAGAAAAGGUUCAAGACACAUCUCUCAGUGGGAAAAGUGAUGUGCACUGUUGUUUGGGAUAGGAAACACAUGAUCCUUCUGGAUUUCCUGGAACCCAGACAAACCUUCAGCUCUGCCUGCUACAUCAUAACUCUGACAGGCUCAAACUUUCAAAGUCAGGUCAGACAAGAAGACAACCUUUCUCUUGCAGCACGAUGCCAGGCUCAAUACCAGUUUGAAGACCAGUUCAGAGCACACUGCCAAUCUUGGCUGGACUGUCCAACCACACCCACUCAAUAGUGCAGAUUUGGCACAUUCUGACUUUCAUUUGGUCAAUGAAAAAUGGUCUGUGUGGGCAAAAUCUUCCUAGAAAUGAUGCUGUCAAAGCACUUGUGAAACAGUACGGAUAUUUAUGAGUGUAUCAUGCAGGCUUGUAUUGAUUGCUGGUGAAAAUGCAUAGCUAAUGGUGGUGACUAUGUUGAAAAACAUUUUGUUGAAGAGAGUUUGCUCCAUCAAAUAGUGCUGUUGUGCUCUUUGUGUCUGCUGUAGUUUCCAUGGAAAUAAAUAGAAGGCAUUACUUUCAGAGCAAACUAAGUAUCUUCUUGCUCUAAAGUUUUUUUUAUACACUUGAGUAUGAUAAGCUGGUGAAGUGAGUAUUUUUGCCUAAUAAUCUCUGAAUCUCUGUACGAAUUUUCAAGGAAAAGUUUUGUUGUUGUUGUUGUUUUUGUAUUAUUCUUUCAGAUAGUUUUAACUGAUAUUAUUUUUCUGACCAAGCACAUCAGCCAGUCUAUUGCAGCUCAUUUCAUAGAACAGGAGCACAAACAAUAAGAAGCACACUCACUGAGCCUUGAGUAAUUAAAUACAAGUAGAACAGUGAUAAUAAAAAGAAAGAAAACACUGGAUAAGUUUUCUGAAAAGGAAAGAGGUAUAAUUACUUCAGCCCAAGGGCAGCAAUAACACAGACAUUGACAAAAUAUAAGGAUUUUAUGUGCUUAUUGACUUAGCCAUUCACCAAAAAAAAAAAAAAAAAAAAAAGUCAUUAUCUUAGCAAAUGCCACAUUACACGAUAAUAAUCAAGCUACUGUACUAUACCUAUAAGGUACAAAGCACCUUUUACUGAAAAUCAAAGGCACUUUUCUGAACAAUUAAGAGGAGAAUUUUAUUGUUGUGUGGUGAUAUGGCCACAUAUUUUACUUUCUGCUUUUUUAACAUUUAGAGGCAUUUUUUGCUCUCUUUAUUUUAUUACAAAAUGCUCUGGAGUGCUUCUGCUGACUUUUAGUGAAGUAGCUGCAGUUAGUACAGAAGCUCUUAGCAUGCCCAGCUGAGGCACAUCUGACCACCUCAGCUGUGAAUGAUAAGCUUGCAAUACGAAAUGACUGAAAAAGAUAAAGGUAAGCUUAUCUGUAAACCUUAACUCCCCCUUUUUUCCCUCUCUCUAUACUGCUAGUAAGGUGUCUGUUGGACUAAUGAUAGGGAUCCUCCAUCUUAAGACCAAAGGGAUUAUGAGGCUGUGGAAGAAGAAACUGAUGAAUGCUGACAAGGUCACGUGCUGGCUGGCUGGCAGCUGGGUCCAAGGAUUGAAGGUAAAAGACACAGAGGUGGAAAUGAAACACAAGGUCAUUUAAUUUACAAUCCUUCAUUUUGCUCAGCAACUUUUUGACUAGUAUCAUUUUAACACUAUUGAUGAUCUCAACUGAUUAUUUCCUGUAGAGAGUGUUCACAGCCUAAUAUUAAUUGCACAACACUGUAAAAUUUCCAAAAAAUUUGAAGGGGUUAAAACAAAAUGGUACUGCAGCUUUCUGCUAUUAGAUAUCUGCUAAUGGGAGCACAUGAUGAAGGUUAGAGUAAAUUAAUUGCUUGAUUAUACAACCCUUGGAUCUUGCGUUCAUAGGCUAAGUAACAAAUCAGUGUUUCUGUAUAUUUUUAUUCUAAUUACAUAAUGAUAUAGUAGAGUGUAGGGACAGUCAUCCCAAUGGUAAUUUUUAAUUGUGGAAGUUCAGAGACUUCUGGGUAGGUUGGAACAGUAGCUGAACCUGCUGCUCUGUUUUUGGUUUUGCUCACACUGAAAUGUAGGAAAGCCUCUUAGUGGGAUGCAUGCAUGCAUGUCUAGGAAUACUGGCACUGCUUGGUUUCACUAAUUUUUUUUUUUUUAAUAGACAAAGUGGAUUUUCUGCCCAACUUAGAAACAUAAAUCUGCCAAGAUGUAUAACAAAGACUAAGUCAUGGACAAAGCAGCCAGAGGAAACUCUGAAACUGUCUGAUAGCACUGGGGUAACAGAACGUCACACUAAGCUGCAACACCUCAUCCGCCAGCAAGCUCCUUUGGACUGUAGCUGCCCUAUAACGUUUCUCACAUAUGCAUGGAACUAUGAAAUUCAGUGUUCCAGCACAACAUUAGUUAGAUUUAGCUUUGGUGCUUGGCUGCUGGUUACUGCUGAAAAAACAGAGGUUUGCUUUGCUAAAGCAUCCAAAAUGAAAUUUGCUUGCUGUUGCUGCACUAAGUUGCCAUCCAGCAUGCACUGAAGAAAAAAAUCCUGGUUAUUUUCCCAUGGCUCCCUUAGCCAUACAAGUGCUAGGUGGGAAUGCACCUUCCUUGUGAAAAUGGACUGUGGAGAACAGAUCAGCUGGAUUCUCAGGUUGUUCUCCUGGGGCCUUGGCAGGCUGGGACUCAGAGCUGCAGGCAGCCUCCCUUCCACUCAACCUCUGCAGGGUGAGCAAAACAGUGCUUCUACCUCCAUGUAGCUCUGUUUUGUAUAUGUCCUCUGUUCACUGCAAACAUAUGAAAGACACAUGUUUUAUUGCAGAUUUUUUUGGCAUGCAGACAAAGUGCAAGGAGAGGGGCUAAUUAGGCUUCAGGGUGGCACCUCCCUCUAGCAUCAUAAAUAAAAGCUAUUUAACAAAAAAUAUAAUAGGAUGCCAGUAAAAAUGCUUGGAAAUAGAAUUACAAUAGCCAAACUUGUAUUUUGUAAGUUGUUUACCAUAAAUGAAAUAAAGUACAAAGGAAAUGGAAAAUGUGGUAACUGUACUGAAUGCCUUUAUAUAGUUUUCAGAUGCCUCUCGGAGUUAUAUUUUAUUUCCUCUCAAUAUGUUUAUAGACUCUGUGUGGAAGGUCAUACUAUUUUUCCCUAGAGUUUUUUUCCUUCUGUCUUGGCUAAACCUUCCUAGAAGAGUUUUGGAACUUGGCAGUGUAAGAAACUUAAGACAGAGAAGCAGACUUCCCUUCCUAGACAUAUGUCAAUUUGAAAAUAUGAAAAAAAAAAGUUGCAGUAAAUAUAAAUCAAACACCAUGUGAUCUGCAGCAAAGUAGAGGGUUUUACCUAUCAAUCAGCUCUGAAGAUCCCAAAUUUAGUGCAACUAUGUUGAAGAUCACCAUCCUAUCUGCAGUCUCUACGUAGCUCUUAUGAUGACUAAUAUACCUUUCUUAUCUAAAACUAUUAGAGAAUGCUUUUUGCAAGUUAGCACUGGCAGUCACAAGUGAGUGGACACCAUCAUUUUUAACUUAGGUAACAUUCCAACAAAGUAACUGUGUCAUAUCCUUGUGUCAAGAAGGCUCUAGAUCUGAGACUUACCAGGCUAAGGUACAAACAAGAACUGGCUUUGAGUUAAAGGCUAAAUUACUAAAUUAUUAUUAUUAUUAUUUAUUUAUUUAUUUUUAGGAAGGGGUUGCUGGGCGGGGAAAGAACAGAUCUUGCCAUCAGGCUUGGGAACCACAGAUUUUCUUUAAGUACUGUAUACUCAUAACGACGUAUAUUUGCCUCACUCUGGAGAUGUGUUGAACUGAAUAUCCUUUAGUACUGAAAAGGAAUAAUCAUAAUUCAUAGUAGUUUUUUUCUUUUUUUUCCUGCAUCUGUCAUAUAAAAAUGUUCAAAAGGGGAAAAAUGUUUUCUUCUCAAUAUUAGAGGAAGGUAUUGCAUUCUUAUCCUGGACAAAUUUCACUGAAGUCUGUGAAGUUCCAGUUGAAUAAAUGGCAUACAGGAUGAGAGUAGGAGCUCUUUCCUUAAAAUGAGUAGUUGCAAGUUCAGAGUCUCAGGCUCAAAUAUUUAGAUGUUUAGAAACUAAUACAUAUGUAUAUUCUGGCACAUCAGGAUAAGAAUUUACCCUUUGUUGCCUUUCAUCCAGGGAAAAGGAGGGGUGUGAAAUUGCUUGAAAAAGUAUGACAUAAGUAGCAGAGAAAAUGGGCUUAGUGAGAUGAUGGUGUAAAACUCGGGAGGCGUAUCAUUGAGUCAUGCUGUGCCAAAAUUAGAUUUUAAAAUUGUUUCUGUCAUCUCAAGAAAACCCACAAGACUUUGUUCUGAAUAUCUUAAAGCUCUUAUAACUUCUGUUCAAAAGGAGUUGGCUAUCCUCUUCCUUGUUCCUCCAGACAUUCCUACAUGUUAAGAAGUUGAUAUAAUUUUUGACACAUUUUUUUUUUUUUUAAUAAAUAAAUGUCCUUUUUUCUUACCUGCCAUAACAGAGCUGCUGCCAGGGCCAACUGAAAAGUAUUGCAGAAUGCAUUGAAAUUGUAUGAAAAAGUUAUCUGUUGAAUUGGACUGAUUUCUCCAUCUGGUACUGCCAAUUAAUUUGCCAAAUUUAACCUUUUAAAAUGUCAUUCUUUACCCCCUCUUAAAGAUAACUAAUACUUUUUUUUUCUUUCUCUCCUGACUUCUUAGAAGCUUCUGCCCUUUUCAUAGAUAUAGGAAGUUCCUAAGAUGAUUGUGAAAAGGCAAAAAAUGUAUUGCAAAUCUGGCUUCCUUCUGGGAAGUAAGUGAUAAUUUUGCGCCACAAAAAGUCAGUAUAAUGUAAUUAAUAUUGUUCUUUUAAUCACCUUAAAAUAUGAGAAUGCAAAGCAAUGAAGGCAGAAUUAUUCAAGUGCCUGUUUAAAAGUGCAUCUGUGCAUGGCUGUCCUGUUGACAUCUUGUUUUAAUGGGUAUUAGGAAUUCCUUUCCAGUUAAAAAAAAACAACCCAAACCAUUAUGCUGAUGCGUCUGUAGACCUUUUAUUUUUCAGUUAUUAAUCUUGUAUUAUGUUAGGUGUGUGUAAUUCUUUUUUCUUUCUUAGAGCCAUUUCAGUCUUAAUUGUGAUGACUGUUAGUAUUUCAUUCAGAGAACUAUGAAAAAUGAUGAUACUAAAUGUUUUACAAAUAGGCUUUUAUUCAUACUACUUGCCUUGCCAUAAUGCUCAAUGACAUGAUUAGAAAUGAUUUUUAACUGGCUUCUGGGAAGGUGUCAUGUAUCAGUGUUGUCAUGUGAAUUAAUUGUUAUAGUAAUGAUAGCAUAUCAAUUAUUCAUUGGAAGGUUGCA
Long non-coding RNA from Gallus gallus (chicken), 9533 nucleotides. RefSeq lists it as uncharacterized. The record is from RefSeq and is a predicted model, not a curated record. The transcript has 4 exons. NCBI's taxonomy places the organism in Eukaryota, Metazoa, Chordata, Aves, Galliformes, Phasianidae.